CGAUGAAGGCCUUCGGGUUGUAAAGUCCUGUCAGGGGGGACGAGGGUCAAUCUUUAAGAUUGACUGACGGUACCCCCAGAGGAAGCUCCGGCCAACUACGUGCCAGCAGCCGCGGUAAUACGUAGGGAGCGAGCGUUAUUCGGAUUUACUGGGCGUAAAGCGUGCGUAGGCGGUUAUAUAAGUCAAAGGUGAAAUCCUUACUCUCAAAGUAAGAACUGCCUUUGAUACUAUAUAACUAGAGAGCAAAAGGGGGGAAUGGAACUCUGGGAGUAGCGGUGAAAUGCGUAGAUAUCCAGAGGAACGCCAGUAGCGAAGGCGGUUCCCUAGUUUGCCUCUGACGCUCAAGCACGAAAGCUAGGGGAGCGAUCGGGAUUAGAGACCCCGGUAGUCCUAGCUGUAAACGAUGAGUACUAAGUGUAGGGGGAGCAUUACCCUCCGUGCUGAAGCUAACGCGUUAAGUACUCCGCCUGGGGAGUACGGCCGCAAGGCUGAAACUCAAAGGAAUUGACGGGGGGCUGAACAAGCAGUGGAGCACGUGGUUCAAUUCGACGCAAAGCGAAGAACCUUACCAGGGCUUGACAUGCUAGUAGUAGCGAUCCGAAAGGUGAGCGAUCUGGAGCUUAUGCUUCAGAAGCUAGCACAGGUGGUGCAUGGCUGUCGUCAGCUCGUGCCGUGAGGUGUCGGGUUAAGUCCCUCAACGAGCGCAACCCUUGUCCUUAGUUGCCAGCGGGUAAAGCCGGGUACUCUAAGGAGACUG
RNAcentral lists this ribosomal RNA (757 nucleotides) under uncultured bacterium. Its description in RNAcentral is "bacterial SSU rRNA". It matches the Rfam family "Bacterial small subunit ribosomal RNA", at positions 406 to 1151 of the family's 1533-position model. The record is from RNAcentral.